This is a non-coding RNA of Triticum aestivum (bread wheat), 135 nucleotides long. The record is from Rfam. NCBI's taxonomy places the organism in Eukaryota, Viridiplantae, Streptophyta, Magnoliopsida, Poales, Poaceae.
GUUUUACUCCCUCCGUCCCAAAAUUCUUGUCUUAGAUUUGUCUAGAUACGGAUGUAUCUAGUGACAUUUUAGUGUUAUACACAUCCGUAUCUAGACAAAUCUAAGACAAGAAUUUUGGGACCGAGGGAGUAUUAG